This 619-nucleotide ribosomal RNA is filed under the name uncultured bacterium. RNAcentral describes it as "bacterial SSU rRNA". It matches the Rfam family "Bacterial small subunit ribosomal RNA", at positions 202 to 822 of the family's 1533-position model. The record is from RNAcentral.
UAAAGAAUUUCGGUAUGGGAUGGGGAUGCGUUCCAUUAGUUAGUUGGCGGGGUAACGGCCCACCAAGACAACGAUGGAUAGGGGUUCUGAGAGGAAGGUCCCCCACAUUGGAACUGAGACACGGUCCAAACUCCUACGGGAGGCAGCAGUGAGGAAUAUUGGUCAAUGGACGAGAGUCUGAACCAGCCAAGUAGCGUGAAGGAUGACUGCCCUAUGGGUUGUAAACUUCUUUUAUAUGGGAAUAAAAUGUUCCACGUGUGGGAUUUUGUAUGUACCAUAUGAAUAAGGAUCGGCUAACUCCGUGCCAGCAGCCGCGGUAAUACGGAGGAUCCGAGCGUUAUCCGGAUUUAUUGGGUUUAAAGGGAGCGUAGGUGGAUUGUUAAGUCAGUUGUGAAAGUUUGCGGCUCAACCGUAAAAUUGCAGUUGAAACUGGCAGUCUUGAGUACAGUAGAGGUGGGCGGAAUUCGUGGUGUAGCGGUGAAAUGCUUAGAUAUCACGAAGAACUCCGAUUGCGAAGGCAGCUCACUGGACUGCAACUGACACUGAGGCUCGAAAGUGUGGGUAUCAAACAGGAUUAGAUACCCUGGUAGUCCACACAGUAAACGAUGAAUACUCGCUG